AUGGCCGUGUCCAUGGCGAUGUCCAGAGCUCUCGCCGUGCGCCAGCCCAACCAUUUUCGCCACCGCCUCGUGUCGACGAGCUCCCAGCAGGCGUCACCGCCGCGGCCGCCUCUUCUAUCCCCUCGCGGACCAAGCCUCACGCUCGCCGCGCGCCCGCGGAUGCUGCCGGCGAGACCCAGGCUCUCGGGAAGCGAAUCGGACCUGUCGCCGACGCCGCUCUCGGAGCGCACCAUGACGGCCUGGGACCUGGCCAGCCUCUGGAUCGGCCUCGUGGUCGGCGUGCCGUCCUACUACCUCGCCGGCAGCCUCGUCGACCUGGGCAUGUCCGCUCUCCAGGGCGUCGCCACGGUCGCCUUCGCCAACCUAGUCGUCCUCGUCUGCCUCGUGCUCACGGCCGCGCCGGCGGUCACGCACGGGCUGCCGUUCCCGGUGCUCGCGCGCGCCACGUUCGGCGUCCGCGGGGCGCACGUACCGGCAGUCAUCCGCGCCCUCGUCGGCUGCGGCUGGUUCGGCAUCGAGUCCUGGAUCGGGGGACGCGCCGUGUUCCUUCUCCUGCCGUCAGCCCUCAAGACGUACCAGCCGCUGCUCACGCCGGUGCCCGGCCUCGGCGCGGCGCCGCUCGAGUUCGCGUGCUUCCUGGCCUUCUGGGCCGCGCAGCUCGGCGUCAUCAUGAACGGCAUGGAGGGCAUCCGGAAGCUGGAGAGGUACUCGGCGCCGGUGCUCAUCGUGCUCACCUCCGCGCUGCUCACCUGGGCAUACGUGUCCGCGGGCGGCUUCGGCCGCAUCCUCUCGCUGCCGCCGCGGCUGACGGGCGCCGAGUUCUGGAAGGUGUUCUUCCCGGCGCUCACGGCGAACAUUGGCUUCUGGGCGACCGUGGCCAUCAACAUACCGGACUUCGCGCGGUACGCGCGCAGCCAAGCGGACCAGGUGCUCGGCCAGGCCGGGCUGCCGGUGUUCAUGGGCAUGUUCACCUUCGCGGGGCUCGCCGUGACCUCCUCCACCGAGGCCAUAUUCGGCCACAUCAUCUCCGACCCAAUCGAGCUCCUGGGGCGCAUCGGCGGGCCGGCGACGACGGUCCUCGCCAUCUUCGGCAUCAGCCUGGCGACCAUCACGACCAACAUCGCUGCCAACGUGGUGGCGCCGGCGAACGCGUUCGUCAGUAUGAGCCCACGGAGGUUCACGUUCUCGCAGGGGGCGCUCAUCACCGCGUUGCUGGGCAUCGCCUGCCAGCCAUGGCGGCUGCUCAGCUCCAGCGAGAGCUUCGUCUACACCUGGCUGCUCGGCUACUCGGCGCUCAUGGGACCCAUAGGAGGGGUCAUCCUCGCCGACCACUACAUUGUGAGGCGCACCGCCUUGGACGUCGACGCGCUCUACUCGGAGGAGAGGGAGAGCCCCUACUAUUUCCAGGGCGGUUUCAACGUUGCCGCCAUGGUGGCGAUGGCGGCCGGAGUUGCGCCGAUCGUGCCGGGGUUUCUUCACAAGGUUGGCGUUCUGCCGAGUGUCUCCGGUGCACUCGUCGCGGCCUAUAACAAUGCCUGGUUUGUGAGCUUUUUCGUCGCCGGCACCGUCUACUGCCUGCUCUGUCGCCGGAGAGGCGGUGAAGUGAAAUACCAAAGCAGUUGA
Molecule: ribosomal RNA, 1623 nt
Filed under: Triticum aestivum (bread wheat)
Lineage: Eukaryota; Viridiplantae; Streptophyta; Magnoliopsida; Poales; Poaceae
Description: partial small subunit ribosomal RNA
Source: RNAcentral